UGGGGAAUAUUGGGCAAUGGGCGCAAGCCUGACCCAGCAACGCCGCGUGAGGGAAGAAGGUCUUCGGAUUGUAAACCUCUGUCCUUGGGGACGAAAAAAAUGACGGUACCCAAGGAUGAAGCCCCGGCUAACUACGUGCCAGCAGCCGCGGUAACACGUAGGGGGCGAGCGUUGUUCGGAAUCAUUGGGCGUAAAGGGUGCGUAGGCGGCAAAGCAAGUCAGAUGUGAAAUUCCCGGGCUUAACUCGGGGGGUGCAUUUGAAACUGCAUUGCUUGAGUGCAGGAGAGGAAAGCGGAAUUCCUAGUGUAGCGGUGAAAUGCGUAGAUAUUAGGAAGAACACCAGUGGCGAAGGCGGCUUUCUGGACUGUAACUGACGCUGAGGCACGAAAGCGUGGGGAGCAAACAGG
This 407-nucleotide ribosomal RNA is filed under the name uncultured prokaryote. Its description in RNAcentral is "bacterial SSU rRNA". It matches the Rfam family "Bacterial small subunit ribosomal RNA", at positions 355 to 776 of the family's 1533-position model. RNAcentral also lists the same sequence under 1 other name. The record is from RNAcentral.